RNAcentral lists this ribosomal RNA (253 nucleotides) under uncultured bacterium. RNAcentral describes it as "partial 16S ribosomal RNA". It matches the Rfam family "Bacterial small subunit ribosomal RNA", at positions 524 to 776 of the family's 1533-position model. The record is from RNAcentral.
UACAGAGGUCUCAAGCGUUGUUCGGAUUCAUUGGGCGUAAAGGGCGCGUAGGCGGGCUGUCAAGUCUGGGGUGAAAUGCCGCGGCUCAACCGUGGAACUGCCUUAGAUACUGACGGCCUCGAGGGAGGUAGGGGCGUGCGGAACUGUAGGUGGAGCGGUGAAAUGCGUUGAUAUCUACAGGAACUCCGGUGGCGAAAGCGGCGCGCUGGACCUCUUCUGACGCUGAGGCGCGAAAGCUAGGGGAGCAAACGGG